GACAGAGGGGGCAAGCGUUGCUCGGAAUUACUGGGCGUAAAGGGCGCGUAGGCGGAAUGGCAAGUCGGUCGUGAAAUCCUUCGGCUCAACCGAAGAACGUCGAUCGAAACUGCCGUUCUUGAGGAUUGCAGAGGAGACUGGAAUUCCCGGUGUAGCGGUGAAAUGUGUAGAGAUCGGGAGGAACACCGGUGGCGAAGGCGGGUCUCUGGGCAGUGACUGACGCUGAGACGCGAAAGCGUGGGGAGCAAACAGG
Molecule: ribosomal RNA, 253 nt
Filed under: uncultured bacterium
Lineage: Bacteria
Description: partial 16S ribosomal RNA
Rfam family: Bacterial small subunit ribosomal RNA
Source: RNAcentral